Mycena rebaudengoi is the source of this 103-nucleotide non-coding RNA. NCBI's taxonomy places the organism in Eukaryota, Fungi, Basidiomycota, Agaricomycetes, Agaricales, Mycenaceae. The record is from the annotation of a GenBank genome assembly.
UCGGAUGUGGGGUAGUAUGGUGCACCUCAGCCCUUCAAAGCUUCAUGUGUGGGGACCGAAGAAUAGGCUGCUGGAGGCCAAGGUUCGACUCCCUGCAUCUGAC